CAGUAGCCGCGGGAAUACAGAGGAUGCAAGCGUUGUCCGGAAUUAUUGGGCGUAAAGGGCUCGCAGGCGGUUUCUUAAGUCUGAUGUGAAAGCCCCCGGCUCAACCGGGGAGGGUCAUUGGAAACUGGGAAACUUGAGUGCAGAAGAGGAGAGUGGAAUUCCACGUGUAGCGGUGAAAUGCGUAGAGAUGUGGAGGAACACCAGUGGCGAAGGCGACUCUCUGGUCUGUAACUGACGCUGAGGAGCGAAAGCGUGGGGAGCGAACAGGAUUAGAUACCCCUGUAGUCCCUGUCUCUUAUAC
This 301-nucleotide ribosomal RNA is filed under the name uncultured bacterium. RNAcentral's name for it is "partial 16S ribosomal RNA". It matches the Rfam family "Bacterial small subunit ribosomal RNA", at positions 509 to 807 of the family's 1533-position model. The record is from RNAcentral.